AUUAUUGGCAAUGUCUAGAAAGUUCUGUCAAAAAGAGGUUUGGUCACCUAAUUGCGCGCCAGUAAGGAGAAAUCCUUAUUGGAAAGCCCCCUCUGUCCUGGGAACUGCCUGGUUGUCAAUAAUGUGAUUCUGUAAUAUUAUUUGUGAAUAAUUAAUUAUUGAUUUAUAUGAUGAGGAAAAUAUUGAUUUUUAUGUGGAUAUAAAUAAAGAAAAUUUUUAAUGUGAC
RNAcentral lists this long non-coding RNA (226 nucleotides) under Panax ginseng (ginseng). RNAcentral describes it as "long non-coding RNA (PGIN_LNC011123)". Lineage: Eukaryota; Viridiplantae; Streptophyta; Magnoliopsida; Apiales; Araliaceae. The record is from RNAcentral.